This 354-nucleotide transfer-messenger RNA is filed under the name Paracoccus pantotrophus. RNAcentral describes it as "Alphaproteobacteria transfer-messenger RNA". It matches the Rfam family "Alphaproteobacteria transfer-messenger RNA". From Rfam's summary of the family: Bacterial tmRNA, also known as 10Sa RNA or SsrA, is named for its dual tRNA and mRNA-like properties. Its role is to liberate the mRNA from a stalled ribosome. Lineage: Bacteria; Pseudomonadati; Pseudomonadota; Alphaproteobacteria; Rhodobacterales; Paracoccaceae. RNAcentral also lists the same sequence under 3 other names. The record is from RNAcentral.
CUCCUUGCGCGCGAGAAUGGCGGCGCCUAUAUUCGGCUUGUCCGGGUUCGCCCGGACUAUGGACAUAAACGCGCAGGUAAUAAGCGGAUCGGACCCGGGGGCGGUACCCGGCGGCUCCACCAUCAUCCCUCGUUGGGGGCGCAUGGGGCCGAAACAGGAUCGACGAACGUCUAAAGCUGUUUGCUUUGUCUCGGUGAGCUACCACCGUCAUCGGUGCAAAAUGUACAGUUGCCAACGACAACCGUGCUCCGGUGGCUCUGGCUGCGUAAGCAGCUCGGGCAACCGAAACUCAAGCCCUUCCGCCUAGCAGCGUAAGGCGGGGCCCGCAGGAGCCUGGCAACAGAAUCCUGCACC